Long non-coding RNA from Drosophila miranda, 236 nucleotides. RefSeq lists it as uncharacterized. NCBI's taxonomy places the organism in Eukaryota, Metazoa, Arthropoda, Insecta, Diptera, Drosophilidae. The record is from RefSeq and is a predicted model, not a curated record. The transcript has 3 exons.
CUCCGCUCAAGAAGGUCGUGUUCAGCUCUAGCUCAGUUUGGGCUCGCGUACGUAAUUACCGCUACUCACGGGCCUCGAUCGUUGGCUUCGUUCCACUGUGGCCAAAACCAAAUCCCCACAAAAUACCAUUAAGAAAUCAUCUUCAAAUUGGAUUAAUAAUCUGCAGAUCAAUCUAUCCAUAUCCUUGCUUAAAGGCAAUUAAGGAAGUAAUUUUGUUACCGAAGCUCUUCGUGGAU